RNAcentral lists this ribosomal RNA (488 nucleotides) under Gyrodactylus derjavinoides. RNAcentral's name for it is "SSU rRNA". It matches the Rfam family "Eukaryotic small subunit ribosomal RNA", at positions 1178 to 1636 of the family's 1831-position model. The record is from RNAcentral. Lineage: Eukaryota; Metazoa; Platyhelminthes; Monogenea; Gyrodactylidea; Gyrodactylidae.
GGAGCUUGCGGCUUAAUUUGACUCAACACGGGAAAACUCACCCGGACCGGACACUAUGAGGAUAGACAGAUUGAUAGCUCUUUCUUGAUUUGGUGGAUAGUGGUGCAUGGCCGUUCUUAGUUCGUGGUAUGAAUUGUCUGGUUAAUUCCGAUAACGAACGAGAUUCUAACCUGCUAAAUAGGCUACGUGUAAUUCUGUGUAGAUUUUCUGUGAAUUAACUUCUGUUAGUUUGCGGAGGUCUGUACGAGCAUGUGGAACUUCUUAGAGGGAUUGGUGAAUAUCCAAGUCACAAGAGAGAGAGCAAUAACAGGUCUGUGAUGCCCUUAGAUGUUCGGGGCCGCACGCGUGCUACACUGACAGUGGUAGAGAGUUUGGUAUCCUCAGGCGAAAGCUGGGGGCAAACUUUUCAAUUACUGUCGUGCCUGGGAUCGGGGUUUGUAACUAUCCCCCGUGAACCAGGAAUUCCUAGUAAGCACAAUUCAUCAGAU